UACGUAGGGAGCAAGCGUUGUCCGGAAUCAUUGGGCGUAAAGCGCGCGUAGGCGGCCCCGUAAGUCCGCUGUGAAAGUCAAAGGCUCAACCUUUGAAAGCCGGUGGAUACUGUGGGGCUAGAGCCCGGAAGAGGCGAGUGGAAUUCCUGGUGUAGCGGUGGAAUGCGCAGAUAUCAGGAGGAACACCAAUAGCGAAGGCAGCUCGCUGGGACGGUACUGACGCUAAGGCGCGAAGCGUGG
This 240-nucleotide ribosomal RNA is filed under the name uncultured bacterium. RNAcentral describes it as "partial 16S ribosomal RNA". It matches the Rfam family "Bacterial small subunit ribosomal RNA", at positions 524 to 764 of the family's 1533-position model. The record is from RNAcentral.